AGUUGUGUCCUGGGGAAAAACUUGUCUUGAAAACGAGUUUAAAGUGUUCAAUUCACUUGACAACUU
Molecule: transfer RNA, 66 nt
Filed under: Iotyrris cerithiformis
Lineage: Eukaryota; Metazoa; Mollusca; Gastropoda; Neogastropoda; Turridae
Description: tRNA-Ser
Source: RNAcentral